ACAGGAUUAGAUACCCUGGUAGUCCACGCCGUAAACGAUGUCGACUUGGAGGCUGUUCCCUUGAGGAGUGGCUUCCGGAGCUAACGCGUUAAGUCGACCGCCUGGGGAGUACGGCCGCAAGGUUAAAACUCAAAUGAAUUGACGGGGGCCCGCACAAGCGGUGGAGCAUGUGGUUUAAUUCGAUGCAACGCGAAGAACCUUACCUGGCCUUGACAUCCAGAGAACUUUCCAGAGAUGGAUUGGUGCCUUCGGGAACUCUGAGACAGGUGCUGCAUGGCUGUCGUCAGCUCGUGUUGUGAAAUGUUGGGUUAAGUCCCGCAACGAGCGCAACCCUUAUCCUUUGUUGCCAGCGAUUCGGUCGGGAACUCAAAGGAGACUGCCGGUGAUAAACCGGAGGAAGGUGGGGAUGACGUCAAGUCAUCAUGGCCCUUACGGCCAGGGCUACACACGUGCUACAAUGGCGCAUACAAAGAGAAGCGACCUCGCGAGAGCAAGCGGACCUCAUAAAGUGCGUCGUAGUCCGGAUCGGAGUCUGCAACUCGACUCCGUGAAGUCGGAAUCGCUAGUAAUCGUGGAUCAGAACGCCACGGUGAAUACGUUCCCGGGCCUUGUACACACCGCCCGUCACACCAUGGGAGUGGGUUGCAAAAGAAGUAGGUAGCUUAACCUUCGGGAGGGCGCUUACCACUUUGUGAUUCAUGACUGGGGUGAAGUCGUAACAAGGUA
This 726-nucleotide ribosomal RNA is filed under the name uncultured bacterium. RNAcentral describes it as "bacterial SSU rRNA". It matches the Rfam family "Bacterial small subunit ribosomal RNA", at positions 772 to 1498 of the family's 1533-position model. The record is from RNAcentral.